This 70-nucleotide microRNA precursor is filed under the name Salmo salar (Atlantic salmon). RNAcentral's name for it is "miR-430 microRNA precursor family". It matches the Rfam family "miR-430 microRNA precursor family". The record is from Rfam by way of RNAcentral. Lineage: Eukaryota; Metazoa; Chordata; Actinopteri; Salmoniformes; Salmonidae.
AUAGGUACCCGAACAUUAGCAUUGACUUGUCUAUAUAAUGCAGUAAGUGCUACUUGUUGGGGUAGUUUUA